GGCCAGACUCCUACAGGAGGCAGCAGUGGGGAAUUUUGGACAAUGGGCGCAAGCCUGAUCCAGCUAUUCCGCGUGUGGGAUGACGGCCCUCGGGUUGUAAACCACUUUAGUAGAGAACGAAAAGGAGCUAUCGAAUAAAUAGCUCUGCUGACGGUACUCUAAGAAUAAGCACCGGCUAACUACGUGCCAGCAGCCGCGGUAAUACGGAGGAUGCGAGCGUUAUCCGGAUUUAUUGGGUUUAAAGGGUGCGCAGGCGGAAUGUCAAGUCAGCGGUAAAAUUUCGGGGCUCAACCCCGUCGUGCCGUUGAAACUGGCAGUCUCGAGUUGGAGAGAAGUAUGCGGAAUCCGCGGUGUAGCGGUGAAAUGCAUAGAUAUCGCGCAGAACUCCGAUUGCGAAGGCAGCAUGCCGGCUCCACACUGACGCUGAGGCACGAAAGCGUGGGUAUCGAACAGGAUUAGAUCCCCCAGUAAA
Molecule: ribosomal RNA, 472 nt
Filed under: uncultured bacterium
Lineage: Bacteria
Description: bacterial SSU rRNA
Rfam family: Bacterial small subunit ribosomal RNA
Source: RNAcentral